Molecule: ribosomal RNA, 1546 nt
Filed under: Serratia plymuthica RVH1
Lineage: Bacteria; Pseudomonadati; Pseudomonadota; Gammaproteobacteria; Enterobacterales; Yersiniaceae
Description: bacterial SSU rRNA
Rfam family: Bacterial small subunit ribosomal RNA
Source: RNAcentral
AAAUUGAAGAGUUUGAUCAUGGCUCAGAUUGAACGCUGGCGGCAGGCCUAACACAUGCAAGUCGAGCGGUAGCACAAGAGAGCUUGCUCUCUGGGUGACGAGCGGCGGACGGGUGAGUAAUGUCUGGGAAACUGCCUGAUGGAGGGGGAUAACUACUGGAAACGGUAGCUAAUACCGCAUAACGUCUACGGACCAAAGUGGGGGACCUUCGGGCCUCACGCCAUCAGAUGUGCCCAGAUGGGAUUAGCUAGUAGGUGGGGUAAUGGCUCACCUAGGCGACGAUCCCUAGCUGGUCUGAGAGGAUGACCAGCCACACUGGAACUGAGACACGGUCCAGACUCCUACGGGAGGCAGCAGUGGGGAAUAUUGCACAAUGGGCGCAAGCCUGAUGCAGCCAUGCCGCGUGUGUGAAGAAGGCCUUAGGGUUGUAAAGCACUUUCAGCGAGGAGGAAGGGUAGUGUGUUAAUAGCACAUUACAUUGACGUUACUCGCAGAAGAAGCACCGGCUAACUCCGUGCCAGCAGCCGCGGUAAUACGGAGGGUGCAAGCGUUAAUCGGAAUUACUGGGCGUAAAGCGCACGCAGGCGGUUUGUUAAGUCAGAUGUGAAAUCCCCCGCGCUUAACGUGGGAACUGCAUUUGAAACUGGCAAGCUAGAGUCUUGUAGAGGGGGUAGAAUUCCAGGUGUAGCGGUGAAAUGCGUAGAGAUCUGGAGGAAUACCGGUGGCGAAGGCGGCCCCCUGGACAAAGACUGACGCUCAGGUGCGAAAGCGUGGGGAGCAAACAGGAUUAGAUACCCUGGUAGUCCACGCUGUAAACGAUGUCGAUUUGGAGGUUGUGCCCUUGAGGCGUGGCUUCCGGAGCUUAACGCGUUAAAUCGACCGCCUGGGGAGUACGGCCCGCAAGGUUAAAACUCAAAUGAAUUGACGGGGCCCCGCACAAGCGGUGGAGCAUGUGGUUUAAUUCGAUGCAACGCGAAGAACCUUACCUACUCUUGACAUCCAGAGAACUUUCCAGAGAUGGAUUGGUGCCUUCGGGAACUCUGAGACAGGUGCUGCAUGGCUGUCGUCAGCUCGUGUUGUGAAAUGUUGGGUUAAGUCCCGCAACGAGCGCAACCCUUAUCCUUUGUUGCCAGCGAUUCGGCUCGGAACUCAAAGGAGACUGCCGGUGAUAAACCGGAGGAAGGUGGGGAUGACGUCAAGUCAUCAUGGCCCUUACGAGUAGGGCUACACACGUGCUACAAUGGCGUAUACAAAGAGAAGCGAACUCGCGAGAGCAAGCGGACCUCAUAAAGUACGUCGUAGUCCGGAUUGGAGUCUGCAACUCGACUCCAUGAAGUCGGAAUCGCUAGUAAUCGUAGAUCAGAAUGCUACGGUGAAUACGUUCCCGGGCCUUGUACACACCGCCCGUCACACCAUGGGAGUGGGUUGCAAAAAGAAGUAGGUAGCUUAACCUUCGGGAGGCGCGCUUACCACUUUGUGAUUCAUGACUGGGGUGAAGUCGUAACAAGGUAACCGUAGGGGAACCUGCGGUUGGAUCACCUCCUUA